Molecule: non-coding RNA, 72 nt
Organism: Ornithorhynchus anatinus (platypus)
Lineage: Eukaryota; Metazoa; Chordata; Mammalia; Monotremata; Ornithorhynchidae
Source: Rfam
AGCAGAGUGGCUCAGUGGAAAGAGCACGGACUUGGGAGUCAGAGAUCAUGAGUUCAAAUCCCGGCUCUGCCA